RNAcentral lists this ribosomal RNA (426 nucleotides) under uncultured bacterium. RNAcentral's name for it is "bacterial SSU rRNA". It matches the Rfam family "Bacterial small subunit ribosomal RNA", at positions 917 to 1344 of the family's 1533-position model. The record is from RNAcentral.
GGGCCCGCACAAGCGGUGGAGUAUGUGGUUUAAUUCGAUGCAACGCGAAGAACCUUACCAGGGUUUGACAUCCUGCGAAUUUCUGGGAAACCGGAAAGUGCCUUCGGGAACGCAGUGACAGGUGGUGCAUGGCUGUCGUCAGCUCGUGUCGUGAGAUGUUGGGUUAAGUCCCGCAACGAGCGCAACCCACGUCUUUAGUUGCCAGCAUUAAGUUGGGCACUCUAGAGAGACCGCCGGUGAUAAACCGGAGGAAGGUGUGGAUGACGUCAAGUCAUCAUGCCCCUUACAUCCUGGGCUACACACGUACUACAAUGCUACGGACAAAGAGCAGCAAGUUCGCGAGGACAAGCAAAUCUCAUAAACCGUGGCUCAGUUCAGAUCGUAGGCUGCAACUCGCCUACGUGAAGGAGGAAUCGCUAGUAAUCG